GACGAACGCUGGCGGCGUGCUUAACACAUGCAAGUCGAACGGAAAGGCCCUGCUUUUGUGGGGUGCUCGAGUGGCGAACGGGUGAGUAACACGUGAGUAACCUGCCCUUGACUUUGGGAUAACUUCAGGAAACUGGGGCUAAUACCGGAUAGGAGCUCCUGCUGCAUGGUGGGGGUUGGAAAGUUUCGGCGGUUGGGGAUGGACGCGCGGCUUAUCAGCUUGUUGGUGGGGUAGUGGCUUACCAAGGCUUUGACGGGUAGCCGGCCUGAGAGGGUGACCGGCCACAUUGCGACUGAGAUACGGCGCAGACUCCUACGGGAGGCAGCAGUGGGGAAUAUUGCACAAUGGGCGGAAGCCUGAUGCAGCAACGCCGCGUGCGGGAUGACGGCCUUCGGGUUGUAAACCGCUUUCGCCUGUGACGAAGCGUGAGUGACGGUAAUGGGUAAAGAAGCACCGGCUAACUACGUG
RNAcentral lists this ribosomal RNA (468 nucleotides) under uncultured bacterium. RNAcentral describes it as "partial 16S ribosomal RNA". It matches the Rfam family "Bacterial small subunit ribosomal RNA", at positions 28 to 507 of the family's 1533-position model. The record is from RNAcentral.